Molecule: long non-coding RNA, 1406 nt
Filed under: Hordeum vulgare
Lineage: Eukaryota; Viridiplantae; Streptophyta; Magnoliopsida; Poales; Poaceae
Description: long non-coding RNA (HVUL_LNC008096)
Source: RNAcentral
UGCGUGCGCACAGUUCACACCACUAGACCCAAACCCUAAACCAAAUCAGGGGAGCUCUCGUUGCCGGAUCGCUGGCCUAUCGUCCGGAUGUCCGCCGCGUCAGUUCCCCACAGCUACGGUGCCGCCAGCCACCACCGUUCCAUUGCCUUGGAUUCGGCUGUGCGCGUGGGCUGGGAACCAUUCUCUGUUGUCUGAUACGUCGUUGGAGCGGGAGGUUUGGUCGGUCGAGGCCAGGUAUGAGCAGCUCCUGAGCUGGAUGGAUGGAUGGAUGCAGGUCAUGUGUCGUGAACUAACACCACGACACCUCUUUUGGAACGGAGGGAGUAUAUUUUGGAACGGAGGGAGUAUGUAUGUACGUAUGGAUAUCAUGGUCAUGUUGCUUGGGGUUCAACCUCUUUUUUGGCUAAAAAUGAGGGGCGAUGCCCAUAAUUAUGAAUGUGGCUGUGGCGAGGUGCGACUAAAUAGUGCCUAAAAAUUGGUGUCUGCGCUGGAGUUGGUCUUAGAGCCCACCCUUACCUCUGUUGCAGCCUGUCCAAUUCAUCGCCAAUGUUGUUGGAUGUUCUGUGCCUUGGACGGUCGUUCUGAUGAGUGAUAACCCGGGAAGUUCUCUUACAUUGUGAUGGGUGGAUUAUGCAGCAAGAGAUGUGAGUGUUGGGUUUGAAGAUGAAAUGCAAAACUGAGCCCUCUCUUGCUAUGUUACAUAUACUCAGUUCAGUUGCAUUUUGUUCUGGAUCAGGGAUGGAUCCUCCUCUCUCUCUCUCUCUCUAUCCCCCUCUCCCUACGAAGAAGAAGAAGAAGAACAAACCAGUGAAGCUCUCAUCGCCGACUCGCUGACCGAUCGUCUGGGUGGCUGCCACAUCAGUUCCGUGUUGCUAUGGUGCUACCAGCCUGCCAUUCCAUUGCCUUGGAUUUGGUUGUGGCAUGGGCUGGGAACCGUAGAGUUCUGUUCUGAUGUGUCUGUCUGUGACGAGGUUUGGUCGGCUGACGCCAGGUAUGAGCAGCUCCCGAGACUGUCUAAGUUACUCACCACUAUGGCCAGUCUGAUGGAUGGAUGGAUGCUACUGUGUGAUGAAGAGAUGGAGUUCUUACCAGGGGUGAUGAUGAUGACCAUGGCUGAAAUAAGCAUGUCUUGAGCAAUUAAGGCAGCUGUGGCCUGUGGGUACUAAAUUAGAGCGCACCCUUACCUCUCUUGCAGCAAUUCAAUUCAUAGCUAAUGUUGGAUGUUCUGUGCCUUGGACGGUCAUUCUGAUGAAUGAUAACCAGGGCAGUCCUCUUACAUCGUGAUGGGUAGAUUAUGCAGCAAGCUAUGUGAGUGUUGGGAUUUAAGAUGAAAGGCAAAACUGAGCCCUCUUUUGCUACGCUACAAAUAUUUGAUUUUACCUUCUUUAAUAUGCAUUGUUUUUUUU